This 452-nucleotide ribosomal RNA is filed under the name uncultured Sulfuricurvum sp. Its description in RNAcentral is "bacterial SSU rRNA". It matches the Rfam family "Bacterial small subunit ribosomal RNA", at positions 936 to 1382 of the family's 1533-position model. The record is from RNAcentral. Lineage: Bacteria; Pseudomonadati; Campylobacterota; Epsilonproteobacteria; Campylobacterales; Sulfurimonadaceae.
AGCAUGUGGUUUAAGUUCGAAGAUACACGAAGAACCUUACCUGGCCUUGACAUGGUAGGAACCCUGUAGAGAUACGGGGGUGCUAGCUUGCUAGAGCCUACACACAGGUGCUGCACGGCUGUCGUCAGCUCGUGUCGUGAGAUGUUGGGUUAAGUCCCGCAACGAGCGCAACCCUCGUCCUUAGUUGCUAACGGUUCGGCCGAGCACUCUAGGGAGACUGGCCUUCGCAAGGAGGAGGAAGGUGAGGACGACGUCAAGUCAUCAUGGCCCUUACGGCCAGGGCUACACACGUGCUACAAUGGGGCGUACAGAGAGCUGCGAUACCGCGAGGUGGAGCCAAUCUCUUAAAGCGUCUCUCAGUUCGGAUUGUUCUCUGCAACUCGAGAACAUGAAGCUGGAAUCACUAGUAAUCGCAGAUCAGCUAUGCUGCGGUGAGUACGUUCCCGGGUCUU